AGAAAAGUAGGUGCUGCCCCGCACAGGGGCAACGCUAAUAGACCACUAACAAUUCAAGGAAAGGCCAAAAGACCAACGAGAGCAACGC
RNAcentral lists this small RNA (88 nucleotides) under Paraburkholderia fungorum. RNAcentral's name for it is "sRNA Bp1_Cand684_SIPHT". It matches the Rfam family "Burkholderia sRNA Bp1_Cand684_SIPHT". Lineage: Bacteria; Pseudomonadati; Pseudomonadota; Betaproteobacteria; Burkholderiales; Burkholderiaceae. The record is from RNAcentral.